Macaca mulatta (Rhesus monkey) is the source of this 2368-nucleotide non-coding RNA. The record is from RefSeq and is a predicted model, not a curated record. Lineage: Eukaryota; Metazoa; Chordata; Mammalia; Primates; Cercopithecidae.
AGGCAGAGAGGAAUGAUGGCGCAAAGAGAAUGAAUUUUAUCCUGUCUGGUUGAAGGAAGGGGUAGGCAUUGAACUAUUUUAAGCUGGAGCCUGAUGCGAUCCAAUUUGCAUUUUAGACAGAUCACUAUGGUGAUGAUGGGUUGGAAGGAGGCUGUUUGGGAAGCAGGGAAAAUAAGGAGCUGCCGCAUCAGUGGCAAAGCAAAGGAGAGGCUGCUUGGAGAGAUACAUGUCAAUGACAAAACUUCAAGUCACACUGCACAGAGAAAGGAAGAAGGAAAUGCAGAUGUUCAGCCUGGAGAAGAAGAGACACGCAGAAGAGGCGAAUGGAGAUUGGUUUGACAUGAAAUGCUCAUAGGCUUACUAAACAGAACUCAGCCCCUGAGAUGCACCGUGGCAGGUGGAGCGAGCACUGACUCUAGAAGAUGAUUGAGGUGGAUUUGGAUCCUGACACCUGCUGUGGCCCAGAGCACAUCAGUGGAGACCUCUAAGCUUCAAUGUAAUAUAAAAUCUAAUGACCAAGCGAAAAACAAAUGCAUCUGGUACAGCUGGUCCAUUCAAAGUCUGUGCAAGCUGGAAUGACGGCCUCCAGGCAAAACCGUCAGUACUUGGAGUAUCCUCUCUGUUCGUCGGGAUUCAACGUCUGUGAAAUAAAAUUUGAUGCCUUCCAUAGGUAUCUCAUCUGAAAUGGCAAGAUUUCUCUGAAGCAAGAUCAGAGAAAAUGUAUCUUAUGUGUUUCCUAGUUUGUAGUCAUGAGACACAGCAAAAGUACGAAACCUACGAGCAUACCAUCACCGCCUGUGAUAUUGAAGUAAGGAAUAAACAAAGAGAAAAGAGCAAAAGGGAAGCAUGAAGACUUCAUAAGCAAACAGGGAAGCCAUUCUAAUCUAAAAUUAUUUUGAUAAUGUAUGUAAUACACUAAAUGGCAUGAGAAAUGAGAACACAAAAAUGUACCAUUGCUUGUUAUUUUGGAGGGGAGGACAGUUGCAUCUGCUCUUGUAACUGUCAAAUGUGUUCUUCUUGUGCCGCAAGGAUCCAUCAUAGCCAGCUAGAGACUGGGGGCUGGCAGUUCUAUUGAUAGACUUGAGCACACACUGCAGUCUGUCAAGUCUCACAUUUACAUCUUAGGAUCUAAUCCGUUUUUCUUUCCUUCAUGAAAUCAAUUCUGUAGCAAUUAAAUAACCAGCCCACAAGGUACUUUAAUAUCCCAAGCAUUUAUCUGUAUAUAGCCCAGAAAGGAAAAGGUAAUUAGAAGUGACUUACUAUCACCAGUGCUGGGGGACACAUUAGAAAAAUCAGUGCUUCAUCAUUACUUUAAAGAGGUACCUCUAAAUCUACUUCAUUUGUGAUUCAAUCCUCCUCUGUGACAUGCUGCUGAGUCCUUUGAUUCCUAGAGGACAGAGACUUUUAAAUGGUUGUCAUUAUAUGGGAUUUUGUUUCAUUUUCUGUCAAUUUCAGGCAUCACUGAAAUAGACUCUUAUUAGCUGUGGGAUGGUAUCAUCACAUGCACACAGCAUUGGUUCAAGUAGGUUUUGAAAGAUGUGAAAAGGCUCAAAGAAAAUGACUUUCGAUGUCCUCAUCCAUUUGAGUGUUUUAACCUGAGUCCUGUAGGUUAGAAUUUCUUGAGGAGUGAUUUAUGGGGGAAAAAAAAGCAAGGAAUUUCCAUAAGACCCAAGCAAAUUUUAUUGGUCUUCUCUUUGAAAACUGAGUUUACAAUUUCAGAUCAAUAGCCUGAACAUAUGAGGAAGUUAUGGCAGAGUCUAAUGAGCAUAGAAUUUACCCUUGAAAGACAACUGUAAUUCCUGGUACUGCCUCUUCUAGCUACUAGUAAAACCCCUGCACCUAGAUUUCCUCAUUUACAUAAUGGUAAUAAAAUACCCUUGGUGGUUAUUAGAUGCACAUCGCUUUCUGUAUCAGCAACUGAAAUUGAGGUGCAUAUCACCAUGCAUGAUUGCUUUCAAUACUCCACAUCAGUGUUUGGGACCAAGCUGUUGCUUAGGGCUGCCCUGGUACUCCAGAAGUAUAAAGCUAAGGAAUCACUAAGGUGAGAACUUGGUAAUGUCUUUGUCACCACCUCCCCAGUUCUUCCUAGUUAUAUUCACAGUCUCUUUGUUUCAAGCCAUCUCUCUGCUGAACCUGGGUAUGGAAGCCUUCAGAUUCAGGAAUUCAAUGUGGGAUAUAGCAACAAGGUAAAUUUCCUUGAUCUAUUACCUAGUUUUUUUUUACCUAUUUGCUAUAAUAAUGCACCUAGUAGAGGCACUUCAAGUCAUAAGUCACACGGAAUAAUUAGGGAACUCAUCUGUGGCUGAAGGGAAGAUUCAAAGCACAUUUAUAAGAGGCAUAAAAUAAAUUUUAUAAGUGACUCAAAGUA